CUUGGUCAUUUAGAGGAGUAAAAGUCGUAACAAGGUCUCCGUAGGUGAACCUGCGGAGGGAUCAUACACAAAUAUGAAGGCGGGCUGGAACCUCUCGGGGUUACAGCCUUGCUGAUUAUUCACCCUUGUCUUUUGCGUACUUCUUGUUUCCUUGGUGGGUUCGCCACCACUAGGACAAACAUAAACCUUUUGUAAUUGCAAUCAGCGUCAGUACAAAUUAAUAAUUACAACUUUCAACAACGGAUCUCUUGGUUCUGGCAUGAUGAAGAACGCAGCGAAAUGCGAUAAGUAGUGUGAAUUGCAGAAUUCAUGAAUCAUCGAAUCUUUGAACGCACAUUGCGCCCUUUGGUAUUCCAAAGGCAUGCCUGUUCGAGCGUCAUUUGUACCCUCAAGCUUUGCUUGGUGUUGGCGUCUUGUCUCUAGCUUUGCUGGAGACUCGCCUUAAAGUAAUUGGCAGCGGCCUACUGGUUUCGGAGCGCAGCACAAGUCGCACUCUCUAUCAGCAAGGUCUAGCAUCCAUUAAGCCUUUUUUUCAACUUUUGACCUCGGAUCAGGAGGGAUACCCGCUGAACUUAAGCAUAUCAAUAAGCGGAGGAAAGGGCGU
RNAcentral lists this ribosomal RNA (604 nucleotides) under uncultured fungus. Its description in RNAcentral is "eukaryotic LSU rRNA". The stretch from base 229 to 379 matches the Rfam family "5.8S ribosomal RNA". Lineage: Eukaryota; Fungi. The record is from RNAcentral.